Molecule: ribosomal RNA, 458 nt
Filed under: uncultured bacterium
Lineage: Bacteria
Description: bacterial SSU rRNA
Rfam family: Bacterial small subunit ribosomal RNA
Source: RNAcentral
GUCUGAUUAGCUGGUUGGUGAGGUAACGGCCCACCAAGGCGACGAUCAGUAGCCGGCCUGAGAGGGUGAACGGCCACAUUGGGACUGAGACACGGCCCAAACUCCUACGGGAGGCAGCAGUGGGGAAUAUUGCACAAUGGGGGAAACCCUGAUGCAGCAACGCCGCGUGAGUGAAGAAGUAUUUCGGUAUGUAAAGCUCUAUCAGCAGGAAAGAAAAUGACGGUACCUGACUAAGAAGCCCCGGCUAACUACGUGCCAGCAGCCGCGGUAAUACGUAGGGGGCAAGCGUUAUCCGGAUUUACUGGGUGUAAAGGGAGCGUAGACGGUUUUGCAAGUCUGAAGUGAAAGCCCGGGGCUUAACCCCGGGACUGCUUUGGAAACUGUAGGACUAGAGUGCAGGAGAGGUAAGUGGAAUUCCUAGUGUAGCGGUGAAAUGCGUAGAUAUUAGGAGGAACACC